AAGAGCUAUAAAAAUUACACGGCGAGAC
This 28-nucleotide small RNA is filed under the name Bombyx mori (domestic silkworm). Its description in RNAcentral is "ovarian small RNA-10525". Lineage: Eukaryota; Metazoa; Arthropoda; Insecta; Lepidoptera; Bombycidae. The record is from RNAcentral.